RNAcentral lists this ribosomal RNA (758 nucleotides) under uncultured bacterium. RNAcentral describes it as "bacterial SSU rRNA". It matches the Rfam family "Bacterial small subunit ribosomal RNA", at positions 59 to 802 of the family's 1533-position model. The record is from RNAcentral.
CAGUCGAGGGGCAGCGGGGGUGCAGGCUUGCCUGCACCUGCCGGCGACCGGCUCACGGGUGAGUAACACGUAUGGAACCUGCCCGCCACAGGGGGAUAACCCGGGGAAACCCGGCCUAAUACCCCAUGCCGCCCGGACCGGGCAUCCGGACCGGGCGAAAGGAGGAAUCCGGUGGCGGCUGGGCAUGCGGCGCAUUAGCUUGACGGCGGGGUAACGGCCCACCGUGGCGACGAUGCGUAGGGGUUCUGAGAGGAAGGCCCCCCACACUGGGACUGAGACACGGUCCAGACUCCUACGGGAGGCAGCAGUGAGGAAUAUUGGUCAAUGGGCGGAAGCCUGAACCAGCCAAGUCGCGUGAGGGAAUAAGGCCCUACGGGUCGUAAACCUCUUUUGCCGGGGAGCAAGGGCCGGGACGAGUCCCGGUCCGGAGAGUACCCGGAGAAAAAGCAUCGGCUAACUCCGUGCCAGCAGCCGCGGUAAUACGGAGGAUGCGAGCGUUAUCCGGAUUUAUUGGGUUUAAAGGGUGCGUAGGCGGGCUUUUAAGUCAGCGGUAAAAAUUCGGGGCUCAACCCCGUCCGGCCGUUGAAACUGGGGGCCUUGAGUGGGCGAGAAGAAGGCGGAAUGCGUGGUGUAGCGGUGAAAUGCAUAGAUAUCACGCAGAACCCCGAUUGCGAAGGCAGCCUUCCGGCGCCCUACUGACGCUGAGGCACGAAAGUGCGGGGAUCGAACAGGAUUAGAUACCCUGGUAGUCCGCACAG